RNAcentral lists this transfer RNA (71 nucleotides) under Esomus metallicus (striped flying barb). RNAcentral's name for it is "tRNA-His". It matches the Rfam family "tRNA". Rfam says of the family: Transfer RNA (tRNA) molecules are approximately 80 nucleotides in length. Their secondary structure includes four short double-helical elements and three loops (D, anti-codon, and T loops). The record is from RNAcentral. Lineage: Eukaryota; Metazoa; Chordata; Actinopteri; Cypriniformes; Danionidae.
GUAAGCUUAGUUUAAAUCCAAAAUUUUAGAUCGUGACUCUAAAGACAGGGGUUAAACUCCCCUCGCUCACC